UACGUAGGGUGCGAGCGUUGUCCGGAAUUAUUGGGCGUAAAGAGCUCGUAGGCGGUCUGUCGCGUCGGUCGUGAAAACUUGGGGCUUAACCCUGAGCUUGCGGUCGAUACGGGCAUGACUGGAGUUCGGCAGGGGAGACUGGAAUUCCUGGUGUAGCGGUGAAAUGCGCAGAUAUCAGGAGGAACACCGAUGGCGAAGGCAGCCCCCUGGGCUGAGAUUGACGCUCAGGCACGAAAGCGUGGGGAGCAAACAGG
This 254-nucleotide ribosomal RNA is filed under the name uncultured bacterium. RNAcentral's name for it is "partial 16S ribosomal RNA". It matches the Rfam family "Bacterial small subunit ribosomal RNA", at positions 524 to 776 of the family's 1533-position model. The record is from RNAcentral.